UACGUAGGGUGCAAGCGUUAAUCGGAAUCACUGGGCGUAAAGCGCACGUAGGCGGAUCUUUAAGUCAGGGGUGAAAUCCUGGAGCUCAACUCCGGAACUGCCUUUGAUACUGGAGAUCUCGAGUCCGGAAGAGGUGAGUGGAACUCCGAGUGUAGAGGUGAAAUUCGUAGAUAUUCGGAAGAACACCAGUGGCGAAGGCGGCUCACUGGUCCGGUACUGACGCUGAGGUGCGAAAGCGUGGGGAGCAAACAGG
This 253-nucleotide ribosomal RNA is filed under the name uncultured bacterium. RNAcentral describes it as "partial 16S ribosomal RNA". It matches the Rfam family "Bacterial small subunit ribosomal RNA", at positions 524 to 776 of the family's 1533-position model. The record is from RNAcentral.